GACGAACGCUGGCGGCGUGCUUAACACAUGCAAGUCGAACGGUGAAGCGCCUUCCUUUUUGGUGGGUGUGGAUGAGUGGCGAACGGGUGAGUAACACGUGAGUAACCUGCCCCCUUCUUCUGGAUAACCGCAUGAAAGUGUGGCUAAUACGGGAUAUUCUGGGUCUGUCGCAUGAUGGGUCUGGGAAAGAUAUUGUUUCGGUGGGGGAUGGGCUCGCGGCCUAUCAGCUUGUUGGUGGGGUGAUGGCCUACCAAGGCGGUGACGGGUAGCCGGCCUGAGAGGGUGGACGGUCACACUGGGACUGAGACACGGCCCAGACUCCUACGGGAGGCAGCAGUGGGGAAUAUUGCACAAUGGGCACAAGCCUGAUGCAGCGACGCCGCGUGAGGGAUGGAGGCCUUCGGGUUGUGAACCUCUUUCGCCAGUGAAGCAGGCCUGCCUCGUUUGUGGGUGGGUUGACGGUAGCUGGAUAAGAAGCGCCGGCUAACUACGU
This 493-nucleotide ribosomal RNA is filed under the name uncultured bacterium. Its description in RNAcentral is "partial 16S ribosomal RNA". It matches the Rfam family "Bacterial small subunit ribosomal RNA", at positions 28 to 506 of the family's 1533-position model. The record is from RNAcentral.